This 425-nucleotide ribosomal RNA is filed under the name uncultured bacterium. RNAcentral's name for it is "partial 16S ribosomal RNA". It matches the Rfam family "Bacterial small subunit ribosomal RNA", at positions 354 to 796 of the family's 1533-position model. The record is from RNAcentral.
GUGGGGAAUCUUGCGCAAUGGGCGAAAGCCUGACGCAGCCAUGCCGCGUGAAUGAUGAAGGUCUUAGGAUUGUAAAAUUCUUUCACCGGGGACGAUAAUGACGGUACCCGGAGAAGAAGCUCCGGCUAACUUCGUGCCAGCAGCCGCGGUAAUACGAAGGGGGCUAGCGUUGCUCGGAAUUACUGGGCGUAAAGGGCGCGUAGGCGGACAGCUUAGUCAGAGGUGAAAGCCCAGUGCUCAACCUUGGAAUUGCCUUUGAUACUGGCUGUCUUGAGUACGGGAGAGGGGAGUGGAACUCCGAGUGUAGAGGUGAAAUUCGUAGAUAUUCGGAAGAACACCAGUGGCGAAGGCGACUCACUGGCCCGUUACUGACGCUGAGGCGCGAAAGCGUGGGGAGCAAACAGGAUUAGAUACCCGGGUAGUCC